UCCCUGGUGGCUCAGAUGGUAGAGCGUCUGCCUGCAAUAUGGGAGGCCCGGGUUCAAUCCCUGGGUUGGGAA
Bos taurus (domestic cattle) is the source of this 72-nucleotide non-coding RNA. Lineage: Eukaryota; Metazoa; Chordata; Mammalia; Artiodactyla; Bovidae. The record is from Rfam.